CAAACCGCUCGGUCCUGCCUGCUGGGGAGUUUCUCUCAUUGCAUGAAAACGAAAAUGAAAUUUCUGUUGCUUUUCCUUUCCCUGUUCUCUGCCCACACCUGUGUCCUCUGUGAGGUGCAGCUGGUCCAGUCCGGCCCGGGAGCGGUGAAGCGCGGAGAGACCCUCACCCUGACCUGCGCUGUCUCCGGGGUCUCCAUAACUACUCAGUAUUACACCUGGAACUGGAUCCGGCAGCCCCCGGGGAAAGGGCUGGAGUGGAUGGGGUAUGUGUACCCGUAUAACAGCGGGGAGACAGGCUAUGCCCCGUCUCUCCAAGGCCGAAUCACCAUCUCUGCAGACACUGCCAAGAACCAGUUCUCCCUGCAGCUCCGCUCGCUGACAGCUGCAGACACCGCCACCUAUUACUGUGCCGGAGACACAACCAACAUGAAAUCUUUACUCGUCCUUGUGCUGUCACUGGCCGCUGCCUCGUGUGUCCUCUCCCAGCUGCAGCUGGUGCAGUCCGGCCCGGGAGCAGUGAAGCCCGGAGAGACCCUCACCCUGACCUGCGCUGUCUAG
Terrapene triunguis (Three-toed box turtle) is the source of this 558-nucleotide non-coding RNA. Lineage: Eukaryota; Metazoa; Chordata; Testudines; Emydidae. The record is from the annotation of a RefSeq genome assembly.